ACAACGUUCGGACCGUCGGUCUACCGAGCAAUAUCACCCGCUCGGUGGAAGAUCUUCCCUUUGCGGU
RNAcentral lists this microRNA precursor (67 nucleotides) under Bombyx mori (domestic silkworm). RNAcentral's name for it is "mir-2774 microRNA precursor family". It matches the Rfam family "mir-2774 microRNA precursor family". Lineage: Eukaryota; Metazoa; Arthropoda; Insecta; Lepidoptera; Bombycidae. The record is from Rfam by way of RNAcentral.